GAAAAAGAACCUGAAACCGUGUACGUACAAGCAGUGGGAGCACAGGUUUACCUGUGUGACUGCGUACCUUUUGUAUAAUGGGUCAGCGACUUAUAUUCUGUAGCAAGGUUAACCGAAUAGGGGAGCCGGAGGGAAACCGAGUCUUAAUUGGGCGUUAAGUUGCAGGGUAUAGACCCGAAACCCGGUGAUCUAGCCAUGGGCAGGUUGAAGGUUGGGUAACACUAACUGGAGGACCGAACCGACUAAUGUUGAAAAAUUAGCGGAUGACCUGUGGCUGGGGGUGAAAGGCCAAUCAAACCGGGAGAUAGCUGGUUCUCCCCGAAAGCUAUUUAGGUAGCGCCUCGUGAAUUCAUCUCCGGGGGUAGAGCACUGUUUCGGCUAGGGGGCCAUCCCGGCUUACCAACCCGAUGCAAACUGCGAAUACCGGAGAAUGUUAUCACGGGAGACACACGGCGGGUGCUAACGUCCGUCGUGAAGAGGGAAACAACCCAGACCGCCAGCUAAGGUCCCAAAGUCAUGGUUAAGUGGGAAACGAUGUGGGAAGGCCCAGACAGCCAGGAUGUUGGCUUAGAAGCAGCCAUCAUUUAAAGAAAGCGUAAUAGCUCACUGGUCGAGUCGGCCUGCGCGGAAGAUGUAACGGGGCUAAACCAUGCACCGAAGCUGCGGCAGCGACGCUUAUGCGUUGUUGGGUAGGGGAGCGUUCUGUAAGCCUGCGAAGGUGGCCUGUGAGGGUUGCUGGAGGUAUCAGAAGUGCGAAUGCUGACAUAAGUAACGAUAAAGCGGGUGAAAAGCCCGCUCGCCGGAAGACCAAGGGUUCCUGUCCAACGUUAAUCGGGGCAGGGUGAGUCGACCCCUAAGGCGAGGCCGAAAGGCGUAGUCGAUGGGAAACGGGUUAAUAUUCCCGUACUUGGUGUUACUGCGAAGGGGGGACGGAGAAGGCUAUGUUGGCCGGGCGACGGUUGUCCCGGUUUAAGCGUGUAGGUGUGUGUUCCAGGUAAAUCCGGUUCACUUUAACACUGAGGCGUGACGACGAGGCACUACGGUGCUGAAGCAACAAAUGCCCUGCUUCCAGGAAAAGCCUCUAAGCAUCAGGUAACAUCAAAUCGUACCCCAAACCGACACAGGUGGUCAGGUAGAGAAUACCAAGGCGCUUGAGAGAACUCGGGUGAAGGAACUAGGCAAAAUGGUGCCGUAACUUCGGGAGAAGGCACGCUGACACGUAGGUGAAGUGAUUUACUCAUGGAGCUGAAGUCAGUCGAAGAUACCAGCUGGCUGCAACUGUUUAUUAAAAACACAGCACUGUGCAAACACGAAAGUGGACGUAUACGGUGUGACGCCUGCCCGGUGCCGGAAGGUUAAUUGAUGGGGUCAGCGCAAGCGAAGCUCCUGAUCGAAGCCCCGGUAAACGGCGGCCGUAACUAUAACGGUCCUAAGGUAGCGAAAUUCCUUGUCGGGUAAGUUCCGACCUGCACGAAUGGCGUAAUGAUGGCCAGGCUGUCUCCACCCGAGACUCAGUGAAAUUGAACUCGCUGUGAAGAUGCAGUGUACCCGCGGCAAGACGGAAAGACCCCGUGAACCUUUACUAUAGCUUGACACUGAACAUUGAGCCUUGAUGUGUAGGAUAGGUGGGAGGCUUUGAAGUGUGGACGCCAGUCUGCAUGGAGCCGACCUUGAAAUACCACCCUUUAAUGUUUGAUGUUCUAACGUGGACCCGUUACCCGGGUUGCGGACAGUGUCUGGUGGGUAGUUUGACUGGGGCGGUCUCCUCCUAAAGAGUAACGGAGGAGCACGAAGGUUGGCUAAUCCUGGUCGGACAUCAGGAGGUUAGUGCAAUGGCAUAAGCCAGCUUGACUGCGAGCGUGACGGCGCGAGCAGGUGCGAAAGCAGGUCAUAGUGAUCCGGUGGUUCUGAAUGGAAGGGCCAUCGCUCAACGGAUAAAAGGUACUCCGGGGAUAACAGGCUGAUACCGCCCAAGAGUUCAUAUCGACGGCGGUGUUUGGCACCUCGAUGUCGGCUCAUCACAUCCUGGGGCUGAAGUAGGUCCCAAGGGUAUGGCUGUUCGCCAUUUAAAGUGGUACGCGAGCUGGGUUUAGAACGUCGUGAGACAGUUCGGUCCCUAUCUGCCGUGGGCGCUGGAGAACUGAGGGGGGCUGCUCCUAGUACGAGAGGACCGGAGUGGACGCAUCACUGGUGUUCGGGUUGUCAUGCCAAUGGCACUGCCCGGUAGCUAAAUGCGGAAGAGAUAAGUGCUGAAAGCAUCUAAGCACGAAACUUGCCCCGAG
Molecule: ribosomal RNA, 2282 nt
Filed under: Salmonella enterica subsp. enterica serovar Enteritidis
Lineage: Bacteria; Pseudomonadati; Pseudomonadota; Gammaproteobacteria; Enterobacterales; Enterobacteriaceae
Description: partial 23S ribosomal RNA
Rfam family: Bacterial large subunit ribosomal RNA
Source: RNAcentral